This 253-nucleotide ribosomal RNA is filed under the name uncultured bacterium. RNAcentral describes it as "partial 16S ribosomal RNA". It matches the Rfam family "Bacterial small subunit ribosomal RNA", at positions 524 to 776 of the family's 1533-position model. The record is from RNAcentral.
UACGUAGGGUGCGAGCGUUGUCCGGAAUUAUUGGGCGUAAAGGGCUCGUAGGCGGUCUGUCGCGUCUGCUGUGAAAUCCCGAGGCUCAACCUCGGGCCUGCAGUGGGUACGGGCAGACUAGAGUGCGGUAGGGGAGAUUGGAAUUCCUGGUGUAGCGGUGGAAUGCGCAGAUAUCAGGAGGAACACCGAUGGCGAAGGCAGAUCUCUGGGCCGUAACUGACGCUGAGGAGCGAAAGCGUGGGGAGCGAACAGG